GAUGAACGCUAGCUACAGGCUUAACACAUGCAAGUCGAGGGACCGGCGCACGGGUGAGUCACACGUAUCCAACCUGCCCUUUACUCGGGGAUAGCCUUUCGAAAGAAAGUUUAAUACCCUAUAUAAAGGAUGGGGAUGCGUUCCAUUAGGUUGUUGGUGAGGUAACGGAUCACCAAGCCUUGGAUGGAUAGGGGUUCUGAGAGGGAGGUCACCGACAUUGGAACAGAGACAAGGUCCAAACUCCUACGGGAGGCAGGAGUGAGGAAUAUUGGUAAAUGAGUGCUAGCCUGAAACAGCCAAGUAGCGUGGAGGAUGAAGGCUUAUGGGUCGUAAACUUCUUUUAUAUAUGAAUAGGUAUUAGAUGAAUAAGGAUCGGCUAACUCCGUGCCAGCAGCCGCGGUAAUUC
RNAcentral lists this ribosomal RNA (406 nucleotides) under uncultured bacterium. RNAcentral's name for it is "partial 16S ribosomal RNA". It matches the Rfam family "Bacterial small subunit ribosomal RNA", at positions 28 to 526 of the family's 1533-position model. The record is from RNAcentral.